CUUUGAACUUUACCAAGGAUUCCAUUUGAUAAGCCAUAUUCUACUUUUUUUGUCAGUUGGUGGACUGAGAGUAUUGAACCAAAUAGAUCCAAGGAAAGAACCCUGAAUGGAACCACUGGAAAUGUUCUCCAGACUAACUAGAAGCUGACAGUGAGCGUCCACUGUUUUCACCAUCAGAAAAAGAAAAACAAGCAUUAAAAAUAAACAAAGCACACAUCCCCUUCCUUGGAGGAAAGAAGAUAAUCCCCUGGCUUCUGAGAGCUCACGUAUCACCUGGCAGAUUAAAUAUGAGAAUUGUAUUACCUGAAUGGAGAAAGAAGGUAACUGAACUGUACAAACUCAUUUAGAAGUGUAUGGAUUCUGUGUUGCAAUAUAUAUUGA
This is a long non-coding RNA of Bos indicus x Bos taurus (hybrid cattle), 381 nucleotides long. The record is from Ensembl. NCBI's taxonomy places the organism in Eukaryota, Metazoa, Chordata, Mammalia, Artiodactyla, Bovidae.